ACUUAAAUUGAAGAGUUUGAUCAUGGCUCAGAUUGAACGCUGGCGGCAGGCCUAACACAUGCAAGUCGAGCGGCAGCGGGAAAGUAGCUUGCUACUUUUGCCGGCGAGCGGCGGACGGGUGAGUAAUGCCUGGGGAUCUGCCCAGUCGAGGGGGAUAACUACUGGAAACGGUAGCUAAUACCGCAUACGCCCUAC
This 195-nucleotide ribosomal RNA is filed under the name Aeromonas veronii. RNAcentral describes it as "partial 16S ribosomal RNA". It matches the Rfam family "Bacterial small subunit ribosomal RNA", at positions 1 to 183 of the family's 1533-position model. The record is from RNAcentral. Lineage: Bacteria; Pseudomonadati; Pseudomonadota; Gammaproteobacteria; Aeromonadales; Aeromonadaceae.